UUACCUGUGUGACUGCGUACCUUUUGUAUAAUGGGUCAGCGACUUAUAUUCUGUAGCAAGGUUAACCGUAUAGGGGAGCCGGAGGGAAACCGAGUCUUAAUUGGGCGUUAAGUUGCAGGGUAUAGACCCGAAACCCGGUGAUCUAGCCAUGGGCAGGUUGAAGGUUGGGUAACACUAACUGGAGGACCGAACCGACUAAUGUUGAAAAAUUAGCGGAUGACCUGUGGCUGGGGGUGAAAGGCCAAUCAAACCGGGAGAUAGCUGGUUCUCCCCGAAAGCUAUUUAGGUAGCGCCUCGUGAAUUCAUCUCCGGGGGUAGAGCACUGUUUCGGCUAGGGGGCCAUCCCGGCUUACCAACCCGAUGCAAACUGCGAAUACCGGAGAAUGUUAUCACGGGAGACACACGGCGGGUGCUAACGUCCGUCGUGAAGAGGGAAACAACCCAGACCGCCAGCUAAGGUCCCAAAGUCAUGGUUAAGUGGGAAACGAUGUGGGAAGGCCCAGACAGCCAGGAUGUUGGCUUAGAAGCAGCCAUCAUUUAAAGAAAGCGUAAUAGCUCACUGGUCGAGUCGGCCUGCGCGGAAGAUGUAACGGGGCUAAACCAUGCACCGAAGCUGCGGCAGCGAACGUAUCACUUAAAGCGAUUCAGCGGGUUACGAUUGACGGAGCGAAGCGACGUCAAAGCGUAUACAAAGUCGAGUCGGUUUAAGGAUACGUUCGUUGGGUAGGGGAGCGUUCUGUAAGCCUGUGAAGGUGGCCUGUGAGGGUUGCUGGAGGUAUCAGAAGUGCGAAUGCUGACAUAAGUAACGAUAAAGCGGGUGAAAAGCCCGCUCGCCGGAAGACCAAGGGUUCCUGUCCAACGUUAAUCGGGGCAGGGUGAGUCGACCCCUAAGGCGAGGCCGAAAGGCGUAGUCGAUGGGAAACGGGUUAAUAUUCCCGUACUUGGUGUUACUGCGAAGGGGGGACGGAGAAGGCUAUGUUGGCCGGGCGACGGUUGUCCCGGUUUAAGCGUGUAGGUGUGUGUUCCAGGUAAAUCCGGUUCACUUUAACACUGAGGCGUGAUGACGAGGCACUACGGUGCUGAAGCAACAAAUGCCCUGCUUCCAGGAAAAGCCUCUAAGCAUCAGGUAACAUCAAAUCGUACCCCAAACCGACACAGGUGGUCAGGUAGAGAAUACCAAGGCGCUUGAGAGAACUCGGGUGAAGGAACUAGGCAAAAUGGUGCCGUAACUUCGGGAGAAGGCACGCUGACACGUAGGUGAAGUGAUUUACUCAUGGAGCUGAAGUCAGUCGAAGAUACCAGCUGGCUGCAACUGUUUAUUAAAAACACAGCACUGUGCAAACACGAAAGUGGACGUAUACGGUGUGACGCCUGCCCGGUGCCGGAAGGUUAAUUGAUGGGGUCAGCGCAAGCGAAGCUCCUGAUCGAAGCCCCGGUAAACGGCGGCCGUAACUAUAACGGUCCUAAGGUAGCGAAAUUCCUUGUCGGGUAAGUUCCGACCUGCACGAAUGGCGUAAUGAUGGCCAGGCUGUCUCCACCCGAGACUCAGUGAAAUUGAACUCGCUGUGAAGAUGCAGUGUACCCGCGGCAAGACGGAAAGACCCCGUGAACCUUUACUAUAGCUUGACACUGAACAUUGAGCCUUGAUGUGUAGGAUAGGUGGGAGGCUUUGAAGCGUGGACGCCAGUCUGCGUGGAGCCGACCUUGAAAUACCACCCUUUAAUGUUUGAUGUUCUAACGUGGACCCGUAAUCCGGGUUGCGGACAGUGUCUGGUGGGUAGUUUGACUGGGGCGGUCUCCUCCUAAAGAGUAACGGAGGAGCACGAAGGUUGGCUAAUCCUGGUCGGACAUCAGGAGGUUAGUGCAAUGGCAUAAGCCAGCUUGACUGCGAGCGUGACGGCGCGAGCAGGUGCGAAAGCAGGUCAUAGUGAUCCGGUGGUUCUGAAUGGAAGGGCCAUCGCUCAACGGAUAAAAGGUACUCCGGGGAUAACAGGCUGAUACCGCCCAAGAGUUCAUAUCGACGGCGGUGUUUGGCACCUCGAUGUCGGCUCAUCACAUCCUGGGGCUGAAGUAGGUCCCAAGGGUAUGGCUGUUCGCCAUUUAAAGUGGUACGCGAGCUGGGUUUAGAACGUCGUGAGACAGUUCGGUCCCUAUCUGCCGUGGGCGCUGGAGAACUGAGGGGGGCUGCUCCUAGUACGAGAGGACCGGAGUGGACGCAUCACUGGUGUUCGGGUUGUCAUGCCAAUGGCACUGCCCGGUAGCUAAAUGCGGAAGAGAUAAGUGCUGAAAGCAUCUAAGCACGAAACUUGCCCCGA
This 2315-nucleotide ribosomal RNA is filed under the name Salmonella enterica subsp. enterica serovar Larochelle. RNAcentral's name for it is "partial 23S ribosomal RNA". It matches the Rfam family "Bacterial large subunit ribosomal RNA", at positions 585 to 2802 of the family's 2925-position model. Lineage: Bacteria; Pseudomonadati; Pseudomonadota; Gammaproteobacteria; Enterobacterales; Enterobacteriaceae. The record is from RNAcentral.